Pan troglodytes (chimpanzee) is the source of this 332-nucleotide long non-coding RNA. RefSeq lists it as uncharacterized. The record is from RefSeq and is a predicted model, not a curated record. The transcript is spliced from 3 exons. Lineage: Eukaryota; Metazoa; Chordata; Mammalia; Primates; Hominidae.
CUUUCCUUCUUUAAUCUCUGAUGGUCGUUAUCUCUGGGCCCACUGGACUAUCUCGCGCGUGCACGCGGAACCGGAGUAGAGACGGGGUUUCACCGUAGCCAGAAUGGUCUUGAUCUCCUGACCUCGUCAUCCGCCCGCCUCGGCCUCCCAAACUGCUGGGCUUACAGGCGUGAGACACUGCGCCCGGCGCAUACUACUACUUUUUUUUCACGUGCACUCUAGAUGAUAGUGAAUGAAUACCUUAUAUGGAGUCCAGCCAUGACCAAAAGACAGGAGCUAACACUCAGCUUCAUGGAAAGGCCCGACCUAAUGUCCAGGAAUAGACUCCUGAG